Molecule: long non-coding RNA, 1578 nt
Organism: Heterocephalus glaber (naked mole-rat)
Lineage: Eukaryota; Metazoa; Chordata; Mammalia; Rodentia; Bathyergidae
Source: Ensembl
AUAUCAUGUUUAGGUACAAAUUCCCCAUGACAAAUGUGAUCAUUGUAUUAAUAAAAAUGUUUUUGUCAACUAAGUUUCCUGGUUCCAUUAAUACUGUGCUUCUCCCAACUAUCUGUUGCUGCUGCUUGACUCUAAGAAAACCAAUGGCCCCUAAGUGAUUUGAGUGAAGAGACAUUUGGACCAAAGGUGACAGGGUUCACAGAGGGUCUUGAGGGGAUGAACCUCAAGAAUGGCAAAUGAGCUCCGAUUCAGCAAGGUCAGAGACUCUUUUAAUGUUUGAGGAUGAAUUUUCCCACAAAAGUAACAUUUCUUAUAAUAAAACUAAGACAUCAUAAUAAGGUAUAAAAUAGAAAUUAUUUUAAACAUCGUAUUAGCCAUAUUACAUCAAAGCAGAACUUUUAGUAAUUUGAUGGGAUCUGCUUGUCUUUUAUUCUUCCCUGAAGACAGGCUUUGGAGUUUAACCUUUUUCUUUUUUAAUGCAGAAUCCAGUUGAAAAAAUAAUUUUGAUUUCUGCUUUAUUUUCCAUCCAAGUAUAUGAUAAUAUAUUGUUACCAAGCAGACUUCAUGAAUACCCACUUACUCAUUCAGAUAAUAUUUGGCAGGUAUUUCCUCUCUUGGUAGAAAUGGUGGCCCUGGAUUUCUACAAUAAUCAUGACAAAAACUGACGAAAAUCCCUCUUCUGUAGGACAAUGCACCAUAACUUGGGAAUAAAGCGCCUAAGGUAUGGUUUUGUUAAACAGACAUCUAAUAAACAAGAAUGGUGACAUUGUUCAUCUCUGUCUCUACAUCCUCUGGACAAGACAAGGCUGGGGAUGGUGGAGUGUGACUGUGGCCCCAAUUCCACCAGAGGCUGAGAAGAAAGCACCGUGAGUUCAAUACCAGCUUGGGCAAUACAGUGAGAGUGUUUCUUAGAGAAAACAAUGGAGCACCCUUGCUUAGUAUGGUGAAGAUCUUGGUUUCCAUCUCCAGCACUGCAAAAAAAUAAAAUACUCAAUGUUGCAGGAGUAAGAUAGUACUCAUAAAAGACAAAUAUUCUGCUUAGUCACCUCUUUGUGGGAUUCCAGGGAUGAACGCAUGUUCACUUAAGGAAAACCUCGAGGAGUAAGAAUGUAAGAACAUUUGUUCUUAACUCAAAAUUCUCUUCCACUCGAACUGAAAGAAGUCUUGGAGGCCCCAUGAUGCAUUUUAGCUUAGGCUUGACCCUGUUUUCAGUAUCCUGGAGAAAUGGCCAACCCUUAACCUCCCAGGACAAGAAACAUGGAUAUGCAGGAUCACAGAUCCUCAGAUGGAAACUUGAGCAAGUGAAUUCCACCCUCUGAAAUACCUGUCUGCACGUUAUGAGGAUUUAUCUCAUUUAUCCCUGGGAUAUUUUCUGUCAAAUCCCCACAGAAGCACCUUCUAGAUCCUCUGUAAGUCUCGGUAUUAAGCAAGUGCAAAAACUGGGCCAGCUUCUGAAGUUCAACAUCAACUCUCGUUCUCUUUUUCCAAUCUCAAGGCCCUGCAGCCAUAUUAUUAGACUUUCUAUCUCCAUGAGUUGACUCGCAGGUGCAGAACAGAGGUUCUUAGACCUCCCAGGAG